Molecule: long non-coding RNA, 581 nt
Organism: Rosa rugosa (rugosa rose)
Lineage: Eukaryota; Viridiplantae; Streptophyta; Magnoliopsida; Rosales; Rosaceae
Exons: 3
Source: RefSeq, a predicted model, not a curated record
CCUGCGCUAUCGAAGAAUAAGCUGCUCCAAUUUUCCGGAUCUAACCCUUGCCAGUGGUUAGAGGCGGAGACUCAGCUAUGUAGGAGGCGACGUUUCUCACCAAGUAUAUGAAAUCUAUAGGAGGACACGUUGAGGGCUUCGAAGAUGAUGCGGAACAGGGCACUCAGCAACCCCAAAAUCAAAGUGCUUUGGAAUUCGGAGGUGGUAGAUUGCGACUAGCCAUGAGCUAGAGGAACUUUCUGUUGAAGUAGAGUAGAUACUGGUGGAAUUGAAAUGGAUCUGUCUGCUAAAUAGUAAAUGAUUGUUCACUGAAGUUGUACCAGAAAAGACCCAAACUAAUCGGUUCUUCCGACUCUUCCGACGGCGACGAACAUUGUUCUCUGGGAAUGAUAAUAAAAUCAAAAUGGUGAACAAGACAAGCAUCAGAUCACACAGACAUAUCAUAAGACAUGGCCACUCCCACUGCCACUGCCACCCAGAUUGUUGAGAAAUUAAUUGAAACUGAAUGUACACCCAGAAGGUGGUUUCUUCUCUGCAACUUUCAGAGACACUUCCAUUCUCCUUCCCUUGUGCCAGCUCCC